RNAcentral lists this ribosomal RNA (1099 nucleotides) under Actinomycetes bacterium. RNAcentral's name for it is "Actinobacteria bacterium partial 16S ribosomal RNA". The record is from RNAcentral. Lineage: Bacteria; Bacillati; Actinomycetota; Actinomycetes.
UCCACAAGGGUUGGGCCACCGGCUUCGGGUGUUACCGACUUUCGUGACUUGACGGGCGGUGUGUACAAGGCCCGGGAACGUAUUCACCGCAGCGUUGCUGAUCUGCGAUUACUAGCGACUCCGACUUCAUGAGGUCGAGUUGCAGACCUCAAUCCGAACUGAGACCGGCUUUUUGGGAUUAGCUCCACCUCACAGUAUCGCAACCCUUUGUACCGGCCAUUGUAGCAUGCGUGAAGCCCAAGACAUAAGGGGCAUGAUGAUUUGACGUCAUCCCCACCUUCCUCCGAGUUGACCCCGGCAGUCUCCCAUGAGUCCCCACCAUCACGUGCUGGCAACAUGGAACGAGGGUUGCGCUCGUUGCGGGACUUAACCCAACAUCUCACGACACGAGCUGACGACAACCAUGCACCACCUGUAUACCGACCCCAAAGGGGAAGAACCAUCUCUGGAACGAUCCGGUAUAUGUCAAGCCUUGGUAAGGUUCUUCGCGUUGCAUCGAAUUAAUCCGCAUGCUCCGCCGCUUGUGCGGGCCCCCGUCAAUUCCUUUGAGUUUUAGCCUUGCGGCCGUACUCCCCAGGCGGGGCACUUAAUGCGUUAGCUACGGCGCGGAAAACGUGGAAUGUCCCCCACACCUAGUGCCCAACGUUUACGGCAUGGACUACCAGGGUAUCUAAUCCUGUUCGCUCCCCAUGCUUUCGCUCCUCAGCGUCAGUAACAGCCCAGAGACCUGCCUUCGCCAUCGGUGUUCCUCCUGAUAUCUGCGCAUUCCACCGCUACACCAGGAAUUCCAGUCUCCCCUACUGCACUCUAGUCUGCCCGUACCCACUGCACACCCGGGGUUAAGCCCCGGGCUUUCACAGCAGACGCGACAAACCGCCUACGAGCUCUUUACGCCCAAUAAUUCCGGACAACGCUUGCGCCCUACGUAUUACCGCGGCUGCUGGCACGUAGUUAGCCGGCGCUUCUUCUGCAGGUACCGUCACUUGUGGCUUCUUCCCUGCUGAAAGAGGUUUACAACCCGAAGGCCGUCAUCCCUCACGCGGCGUCGCUGCAUCAGGCUUUCGCCCAUUGUGCAAUAUUCCCCACUGCUGCCUCCCGU